Molecule: ribosomal RNA, 252 nt
Filed under: uncultured bacterium
Lineage: Bacteria
Description: partial 16S ribosomal RNA
Rfam family: Bacterial small subunit ribosomal RNA
Source: RNAcentral
UACAGAGGGUGCGAGCGUUAAUCGGAAUUACUGGGCGUAAAGCGUGCGUAGACGGCUAUCUAAGUCGGGUGUGAAAGCCCCGGGCUCAACCUGGGAAUUGCAUUCGAGACUGAAUAGCUAGGGUACGGUAGAGGGAAGUGGAAUUCCGGUGUAGCGGUGAAAUGCGUAGAUAUCGGAAGGAACAUCAGUGGCGAAAGCGACUUCCUGGACCAGUACCGACGUUCAGGCACGAAAGCGUGGGGAGCAAACAGG